RNAcentral lists this transfer RNA (65 nucleotides) under Hydroscapha granulum. Its description in RNAcentral is "transfer RNA-His". Lineage: Eukaryota; Metazoa; Arthropoda; Insecta; Coleoptera; Hydroscaphidae. The record is from RNAcentral.
AUUUAAGUAAUUUAAUAAAAAUAUUGAUUUGUGGUGUCAAAAAUAUAGAUUUUCUAUCUUAAAUU